This 200-nucleotide ribosomal RNA is filed under the name uncultured bacterium. RNAcentral's name for it is "partial 16S ribosomal RNA". It matches the Rfam family "Bacterial small subunit ribosomal RNA", at positions 8 to 232 of the family's 1533-position model. The record is from RNAcentral.
AGAGUUUGAUCCUGGCUCAGAACGAACGCUGGCGGCAUGCUUAACACAUGCAAGUCGAACGCAAGGCUUCGGCCUUGAGUGGCGCACGGGUGAGUAGCGCGUGGGAACCUGCCCUCUUGUGCGGAAUAACCGAGGGAAACUUCGGCUAAUACCGCAUACGCCGGGAGACCGGGAAAGAUUUAUCGCAGGAGGAGGGGCCC